UGGCUUUCGGAGCUAACGCGUUAAGUAGACCGCCUGGGGAGUACGGUCGCAAGAUUAAAACUCAAAUGAAUUGACGGGGGCCCGCACAAGCGGUGGAGCAUGUGGUUUAAUUCGAUGCAACGCGAAGAACCUUACCUACUCUUGACAUCCAGAGAACUUUCCAGAGAUGGAUUGGUGCCUUCGGGAACUCUGAGACAGGUGCUGCAUGGCUGUCGUCAGCUCGUGUCGUGAGAUGUUGGGU
This 241-nucleotide ribosomal RNA is filed under the name Vibrio sp. s4s10. RNAcentral's name for it is "partial 16S ribosomal RNA". It matches the Rfam family "Bacterial small subunit ribosomal RNA", at positions 840 to 1080 of the family's 1533-position model. The record is from RNAcentral. Lineage: Bacteria; Pseudomonadati; Pseudomonadota; Gammaproteobacteria; Vibrionales; Vibrionaceae.